CGGUGUUUAACUGGCGUGAUGUGGGACGUCCUACCGGUGGGCUUAGCCUCGCGAGGGGCGGCCCAACUAAUAUCCCGUCGCGGUGCUCUUUACUGAGUGUCGAGUCGGGCCGGUACGUUUACUUUGAACAAAUUAGAGUGCUUAAAGCAGGCUAUCCUCGCCUGAAUACUGCGUGCAUGGAAUAAUGGAAUAGGACCUCGGUUCUAUUUUGUUGGUUUUCGGAACCUCGAGGUAAUGAUUAAUAGGGACAGAUGGGGGCAUUCGUAUUGCGACGUUAGAGGUGAAAUUCUUGGAUCGUCGCAAGACGGACAGAAGCGAAAGCAUUUGCCAAAAAUGUUUUCAUUAAUCAAGAACGAAAGUUAGAGGUUCGAAGGCGAUCAGAUACCGCCCUAGUUCUAACCAUAAACGAUGCCAGCUAGCGAUCCGCCGAAGUUCCUCCGAUGACUCGGCGGGCAGCUUCCGGGAAACCAAAGCUUUUGGGUUCCGGGGGAAGUAUGGUUGCAAAGCUGAAACUUAAAGGAAUUGACGGAAGGGCACCACCAGGAGUGGAGCCUGCGGCUUAAUUUGACUCAACACGGGAAACCUCACCAGGCCCAGACACCGGAAGGAUUGACAGAUUGAUAGCUCUUUCUUGAUUCGGUGGGUGGUGGUGCAUGGCCGUUCUUAGUUGGUGGAGCGAUUUGUCUGGUUAAUUCCGAUAACGAACGAGACUCUAGCCUGCUAAAUAGGCGUACCUUAUGGUAUCGCGAAGGCCCCCGGCUUCGGCCGGUGGGUUUUUACUACCAACGUACAAACAAAUCUUCUUAGAGGGACAGGCGG
This 819-nucleotide ribosomal RNA is filed under the name uncultured eukaryote. RNAcentral describes it as "SSU rRNA". It matches the Rfam family "Eukaryotic small subunit ribosomal RNA", at positions 629 to 1426 of the family's 1831-position model. The record is from RNAcentral.